This 376-nucleotide ribosomal RNA is filed under the name uncultured bacterium. Its description in RNAcentral is "bacterial SSU rRNA". It matches the Rfam family "Bacterial small subunit ribosomal RNA", at positions 521 to 896 of the family's 1533-position model. The record is from RNAcentral.
UAAUACGAAGGGGGCUAGCGUUGUUCGGAAUUACUGGGCGUAAAGCGCGCGCAGGCGGCCUUUCAAGUCAGGGGUGAAAUCCCAGAGCUCAACUCUGGAAUUGCCUCUGAGACUGUGAGGCUUCGAGUACGGGAGAGGUGAGUGGAAUUCCCAGUGUAGAGGUGAAAUUCGUAGAUAUUGGGAAGAACACCGGUGGCGAAGGCGGCUCACUGGCCCGUUACUGACGCUCAGGCGCGACAGCGUGGGGAUCAAACAGGAUUAGAUACCCUGGUAGUCCACGCCGUAAACGAUGGAUGCUAGCCGUUGGCAAGCUUGCUUGUCAGUGGCGCAGCUAACGCAUUAAGCAUCCCGCCUGGGGAGUACGGCCGCAAGGUUG